CGUAGGUGGCAAGCGUUGUCCGGAUUUAUUGGGUUUAAAGGGUGCGUAGGCGGCCUUGUAAGUCAGUGGUGAAAUACUCCAGCUUAACUGGAGGGGUGCCAAUGAUACUGCAGGGCUUGAGUACAGAUGAGGUAGGCGGAAUUGACGGUGUAGCGGUGAAAUGCAUAGAUAUCGUCAAGAACACCGAUAGCGAAGGCAGCUUACUGGGCUGUAACUGACGCUGAGGCACGAAAGUGUGGGGAUCAAACAGGAUUAGAUACCCUGGUAGUCCACACUGUAAACGUUGAUGACUCGCUGUUUGCGAUACACUGCAAGCGGCUUAGCGAAAGCGAUAAGUCAUCCACCUGGGGAGUACGCCGGCAACGGUG
Molecule: ribosomal RNA, 368 nt
Filed under: uncultured organism
Description: bacterial SSU rRNA
Rfam family: Bacterial small subunit ribosomal RNA
Source: RNAcentral